UACGUAGGUGGCGAGCGUUAUCCGGAUUUAUUGGGCGUAAAGCGUCCGCAGCCGGCUUAUUAAGUCUAGAAUAAAAGCCUGGAGCUUAACUCCAGUUCGUUCUAGAAACUGGUAGGCUUGAGUGUGGUAGAGGCAAGUGGAAUUUCUAGUGUAGCGGUAGAAUGCGUAGAUAUUAGAAGGAACACCAGUGGCGAAGGCGACUUGCUGGGCCAUUACUGACGGUCAGGGACGAAAGCGUGGGGAGCAAAUAGG
This 252-nucleotide ribosomal RNA is filed under the name uncultured organism. Its description in RNAcentral is "partial 16S ribosomal RNA". It matches the Rfam family "Bacterial small subunit ribosomal RNA", at positions 524 to 776 of the family's 1533-position model. The record is from RNAcentral.